UUUUUGGUCCCAAGGCUC
RNAcentral lists this small nuclear RNA (18 nucleotides) under Arabidopsis thaliana (thale cress). RNAcentral describes it as "snRNA_04311". Lineage: Eukaryota; Viridiplantae; Streptophyta; Magnoliopsida; Brassicales; Brassicaceae. The record is from RNAcentral.